Molecule: ribosomal RNA, 253 nt
Filed under: uncultured bacterium
Lineage: Bacteria
Description: partial 16S ribosomal RNA
Rfam family: Bacterial small subunit ribosomal RNA
Source: RNAcentral
UACAGAGGGUGCGAGCGUUAAUCGGAAUUACUGGGCGUAAAGCGCACGUAGGCGGCUUGGUAUGUCGGGUGUGAAAUCCCCGGGCUCAACCUGGGAACUGCAUCCGAAACUGCCUUGCUCGAGUAUGGGAGAGGGAAGUGGAAUUUCCGGUGUAGCGGUGAAAUGCGUAGAUAUCGGAAGGAACAUCAGUGGCGAAGGCGGCGACCUGGACAGUAACUGACACUCAACUGCGAAAGCGUGGGGAGCAAACAGG